Molecule: ribosomal RNA, 163 nt
Filed under: Odontochilus yakushimensis
Lineage: Eukaryota; Viridiplantae; Streptophyta; Magnoliopsida; Asparagales; Orchidaceae
Description: 5.8S ribosomal RNA
Rfam family: 5.8S ribosomal RNA
About the family: 5.8S ribosomal RNA (5.8S rRNA) is a component of the large subunit of the eukaryotic ribosome. It is transcribed by RNA polymerase I as part of the 45S precursor that also contains 18S and 28S rRNA.
Source: RNAcentral
UAUGACUCUCGGCAAUGGAUAUCUUGGCUCUUGCAUCGAUGAAGAGCGCAGCGAAAUGCGAUACGUGGUGUGAAUUGCAGAAUCCCGUGAACCAUCAAGUCUUUGAACGCAAGUUGCGCCCGAGGCCAAUUGGCUAAGGGCACGUCCGCCUGGGCGUCAAGCA